RNAcentral lists this ribosomal RNA (403 nucleotides) under uncultured bacterium. RNAcentral describes it as "bacterial SSU rRNA". It matches the Rfam family "Bacterial small subunit ribosomal RNA", at positions 355 to 775 of the family's 1533-position model. The record is from RNAcentral.
UGGGGAAUAUUGGACAAUGGGGGAAACCCUGAUCCAGCCAUGCCGCGUGAGUGAUGAAGGCCUUAGGGUUGUAAAGCUCUUUUAUCAGGGAAGAUGAUGACGGUACCUGAAGAAUAAGCACCGGCUAACUUCGUGCCAGCAGCCGCGGUAAUACGAAGGGUGCUAGCGUUGUUCGGAAUCACUGGGCGUAAAGCGCGCGUAUGCGGCUAUUCAAGUCAGGGGUGAAAUCCUGAGGCUCAACCUCAGAAUUGCCUUUGAAACUGUAUAGCUAGAGUGUCGGAGGGGAUAGCGGAAUUGCUAAUGUAGAGGUGAAAUUCGUAGAUAUUAGCAGGAACACCGGUGGCGAAGGCGGCUAUCUGGACGACAUCUGACGCUGAGGCGCGAAAGCGUGGGGAUCAAACAG